RNAcentral lists this ribosomal RNA (406 nucleotides) under uncultured bacterium. RNAcentral's name for it is "bacterial SSU rRNA". It matches the Rfam family "Bacterial small subunit ribosomal RNA", at positions 355 to 773 of the family's 1533-position model. The record is from RNAcentral.
UUGGGAAUCUUGGACAAUGGGGGAAACCCUGAUCCAGCCAUGCCGCGUGAGUGAUGAAGGCCUUCGGGUUGUAAACCUCUUUCAGUAGGGAAGAAGCGAAAGUGACGGUACCUGCAGAAGAAGCGCCGGCUAACUACGUGCCAGCAGCCGCGGUAAGACGUAGGGCGCGAGCGUUGUCCGGAUUUAUUGGGCGUAAAGAGCUCGUAGGCGGCUUGUCGCGUCGAAUGUGAAAUCCCGAGGCUCAACUUCGGGCUUGCAUUCGAUACGGGCAGGCUAGAGUUCGGUAGGGGAGACUGGAAUUCCUGGUGUAGCGGUGAAAUGCGCAGAUAUCAGGAGGAACACCGGUGGCGAAGGCGGGUCUCUGGGCCGAUACUGACGCUGAGGAGCGAAAGCGUGGGGAGCGAAC